CCUACGGGGGGCAGCAGUGGGGGAUAUUGGACAAUGGGGGAAACCCUGAUCCAGCGACGCCGCGUGAGUGAAGAAGUAUUUCGGUAUGUAAAGCUCUAUCAGCAGGGAAGAAAGAAAUGACGGUACCUGAGUAAGAAGCCCCGGCUAACUACGUGCCAGCAGCAGCGGUAAUACGGAGGGGGCAAGCGUUAUCCGGAAUUACUGGGUGUAAAGGGAGCGUAGACGGUAAUGCAAGUCUGGCGUGAAAGGCGGGGGCCCAACCCCCGGACUGCUCUGGAAACUGUGUAACUGGAGUGCAGGGGAGGCAGGCGGAAUUCCUAGUGUAGCGGUGAAAUGCGUAGAUAUUAGGAGGAACACCAGUGGCGAAGGCGGCCUGCUGGACUGUAACUGACGUUGAGGCUCGAAAGCGUGGGGAGCAAACAGGAUUAGAUACCCGUGUAGUC
Molecule: ribosomal RNA, 443 nt
Filed under: uncultured bacterium
Lineage: Bacteria
Description: partial 16S ribosomal RNA
Rfam family: Bacterial small subunit ribosomal RNA
Source: RNAcentral